UUCUCCUCAAAACUUAAUAACCGCUUCUCAGAAUUACAAUAUUGAAAAUUGUUCAUGGCAGAACAGCCCUUUUUGCAUCAUUUUGUGGAGUCUUGAUAAUAGCAAUCCCUUGCUAUUGAAAGUUGUAACAUUCUUUUCAUUAACAUUGAAGUUCGAAUGCUUUCAAGUCCUUUUAAAUAAAAAAAUAGGAGGCUUGGGACAUUGUGAUAUAGGGCCUAUCCAGACAUUUUUAAACUGCUAGAAUAAGAAGUUAACAUUCACGAAUGUUUGUACUGAGAAAAAGGUACCGAGUUCGAUUUAUCUAAGCAGUGGUUCAUACACACCUCUAACACCACCCCAGGAGGAGCCAGACACUGCCAAAUUUUUUCCAAUAUACCCCCCCCCCCCCUCCUUACUUUCUCCUGCACGCAAGAGGUAUUCGCCAAAUGCCAGUUAGGUCGGAAGAGACAAAAUAGAAAGGCGUCUUUUUGCGCCUCUUGUUCAUCGAGCAAUGUUUCAGAAAAAAUGAGGACAUACAAGGCACUGUUUCCAACUAAAUCUUUUAUCCAAGAAAACCAAUAUACAGUAAACUACCACUUGAACGUCACUUAAGCAAAUUAUUCAGCUGUACGAACUUUUUUUGUAUCCCCCAUCGAAACCCCAUUCAACCCAAUGCAAAUGCCUUUCAGUUUAACAAAAUUCAGUACAGUGGCAUUUCAGUUCUGUGAUCAUAUUCUGCUACAUCAUCAUCAUCAUGAUUUUUAUUUUUACCACUGGAUACAAGGUGAAAAAGGGAGAGCCGGGAAAAAAGCCGAAAUCUCUUCGGCUUGACAAAGUUCCGGUCUCCCAGACAGGCACGGAAGCGGCUGGUGUAGCAAUACAAUUACGCAUAAAGUGUGGAAAUAAGAGUUUUUUAAACACAAAUACAUAUAGAAAUUUUCAUGUUAUUACAUGGAAACUAGUUGUAAUACAGUUGUGUCAAAUGACUCCCAGUAUACAAUUAUAAUCUGUUAUCUUGCAUAUUAUUAUUUAACACAGACUCAGUUGCAUAUAUCAUAGUGGACUUGGAAGCACCGAACGAGUACGGAUGCUGAUCAAAUUUUUUCUGAUCGCACAGAUCGUGCUGUCGAGGACCGGAUUCGUCGACGCAGGGUCUGAGCAUGCACUGCAUCAGGCCUAUCUACUGCUACCUCCGGCUGUCUGCCCUGCUGGCUUCAUCGGACAAAACAAGUCGCAGGAAGCUGUACCACGUGCACUGCACUGGGACCACCUGACCAGCACGGUGACGUCGACGGAGACAUCGUGGCACCCGGAUAAAAGCAGCAGCCUUUUCGACGUUCCCUUCAGUGGACUUGGAAGCACCGAACGAGCACGGAUGCUGAUCAAAUUUUUUCUGAUCGCACAGGCGAUCUUUGGAAACUUCAGUGAUACCUGACGACUGGCGAAGGGCCAAAGUAAUACCUGUGCACAAAUCUGGCUCUAAACUCGACAGUUCAUCACUUGUGCAUGUGCAACACAUUGGCGGAGGCAAUACGAACUGCAUUUCUUACUAGCUGGACAAGUCAGAAUGACAAUGCACCUUGGAGAACAAGACUCGAAUUGUGAAAGUCUGGUGGUUUCACAGAACUUUGUUUUAUGUCAAGAUGGGCUGACACCAUGUCACCUGAUGCUGUCACUCUCUGGUAAGCAUGUUAAAAAAAUAAAAACAAUCCAGUUUGAACAGUAA
RNA transcript from Dermacentor andersoni, 1705 nucleotides. RefSeq lists it as uncharacterized. The record is from RefSeq and is a predicted model, not a curated record. NCBI's taxonomy places the organism in Eukaryota, Metazoa, Arthropoda, Arachnida, Ixodida, Ixodidae.